RNAcentral lists this transfer RNA (71 nucleotides) under Bos taurus (domestic cattle). It matches the Rfam family "tRNA". Rfam says of the family: Transfer RNA (tRNA) molecules are approximately 80 nucleotides in length. Their secondary structure includes four short double-helical elements and three loops (D, anti-codon, and T loops). RNAcentral also lists the same sequence under 5 other names. Lineage: Eukaryota; Metazoa; Chordata; Mammalia; Artiodactyla; Bovidae. The record is from Rfam by way of RNAcentral.
UCCUGGUUGUCCAGUGGUUAGGACUCUGUGCUUCCACUACAGGGGGUGGGGGUUUGAUCCCUCAUCUGGGA